RNAcentral lists this ribosomal RNA (492 nucleotides) under uncultured bacterium. RNAcentral describes it as "partial 16S ribosomal RNA". It matches the Rfam family "Bacterial small subunit ribosomal RNA", at positions 29 to 507 of the family's 1533-position model. The record is from RNAcentral.
AGUGAACGCUGGCGGUAGGCCUAACACAUGCAAGUCGAACGGCAGCACAGUAAGAGCUUGCUCUUACGGGUGGCGAGUGGCGGACGGGUGAGGAAUACAUCGGAAUCUACUUUUUCGUGGGGGAUAACGUAGGGAAACUUACGCUAAUACCGCAUACGACCUACGGGUGAAAGCAGGGGAUCUUCGGACCUUGCGCGAUUGAAUGAGCCGAUGUCGGAUUAGCUAGUUGGCGGGGUAAAGGCCCACCAAGGCGACGAUCCGUAGCUGGUCUGAGAGGAUGAUCAGCCACACUGGAACUGGGGCACGGUCCCGACUCCUAAGGGAAGCAAGCGUUGGGAAUUUUGGACCAUUGGGGCAAGCCUGGUCCAGCCAUACCGCGUGGGUGAAGAAGGCCUUCGGGUUGUAAAGCCCUUCUGUUGGGAAAGAAAAGCAGCAGGUUAAUACCCCGCUGUUCUGACGGUACCCAAAGAAUAAGCACCGGCUAACUUCGUG